Molecule: long non-coding RNA, 5185 nt
Filed under: Bemisia tabaci
Lineage: Eukaryota; Metazoa; Arthropoda; Insecta; Hemiptera; Aleyrodidae
Description: lncRNA ENSSSA1NGG004901
Source: RNAcentral
AUGCUUACAUUUCUCAAAUUAGCUAACACACGGAAGCUCAAAAAACCCCAAAAUACUUCACUCCUAUUUUACCACCAAAAUGCAACUAGUAAAAGUAUUUUUUGUUUUUCUUUCCAGAAUCAUAGCCGUAGGUCAGUAUUAGAUAAAUGUCUGAACUUGGAGCUCAAAAAGUCUCCUCCGAAUUUAAAUUUAUCCGAAACCAAUUUCAAGAAACCUAUCUUUGCCCGAUCUGUUUCGGAUAAUGGAGUCCUAUCAUCAGGCAAAACAUUAAUCAGCAUCUGUUACUCUCCAACGAGGAAAACAAUUGCCCCUGAGACUGACACCAAGUCCGCAGCCGUACAAGAUGUAGUCUCAGCUUCGAAAGAAAACGCAACCUGUAUCACAAUCAAACACAAAAGUAGUGAAGAUGGAGAAAAGCCGUCUCAAAAAUCUAAAUUGAAGUCAAGUGUAGACUAUUCAUCGAGGGAGAGGAGUGGUGGUGACUUUCGGUCCAGUCCCGAAAAGAAAGAAAAAGAAAAAAUCAGCCCAGAGAGCAAGGGCAUAGUGUCGCAGCGUGUGAACCAACUCAUUGGGCCUGCAGAUGGUGUCGUUCCAGCACCACGGAAAACAUCUCUCUCACACCAAAGACAAAUUCCAGUGGCGGUGAAUCGCCAGCGAGCUCACAGUGCAAGCGAUCGCAUCACUCCGUACUGCAUCAAAGAAAUGGCUGCAUUGUUUGAAAAACCAGAAGAACUGACCAAAAAGUCAUAAAAUUAUCAAAAAUUAUUUUUCUACCUGUUAUUUAGUCAAGACACUAGCCUUUGGGAUAGUUUGUUAUUUUUUUAUUUUUGCUCUGUAUGUCUGAAUCCCAGCUAACCUCACAUGAGCGUAUUAGUUUGAUUUAUUUUUUUGAUCCAGAAAAAAGGGUAUUGAGUUAUAAGAAUGCUUCAAGUUGUUUAUGAGCUCAUCAAAAUUUUCAGUCCUCAAGUCUAUCGGUAUGAAAGUUUCAGGCUGUAUAUGUUCAGUUUGGUAGCCAGUGCUUACAAAGAAAUGGAUGAAUCCUUCAGGAUUUUAAUUUCUGCUUUUAAAAAUCUGUACUUCCAAACCUUGUGCAUGUUGUAGCAAAUAAAUAAAGAUCAGUAAGAUUUUUUUUUUUUAAAGCAUGGCCAAAAGUAUGGUCCUUUACUUAAUAAUAUGUAUCAUUAUUCGUUGCUCGUCAGGGGGUCAGUAAUUUUCUCUUGCCCUUCAAUUUUCAAUCAUCAAAUUUUCUCAACAAAAAAAUCAAAUUCUUUAACACGUCACUCUUUGCUCGUUACUUUUUUACUUUUCUGUGAAUUGUAUUACCCUUACCGAAACAGAGGAUUAGGUUUAGAUCAGAAGGGCAGGGCAUCUGUCUUGUACACAAUGACAUCACAAAUCAUUAUUAACCAAAGAGAUAAAAAAUGAGGCCCAGUGAACUUUUUUUUUAUAAUGUAAACUUUGUUGAAUCUGAUUAUAUUUUAGAUCUAGAGAUUACGUCCUUUGUCCUUUUGAGGGUCUGUAAUUUUUUAUUGUAAUUCUAUCUUGUCAACACACUCUGUUCGUUAAUAAUCAGCAGUUAUUUUUCUUUUUUAAUCUUACUGAAAGGAUCCAAAAACGUAUGAUAACAAACUAACUUUUGGUGCUAGGAAUGCUUUUUCAUCAAGGAUGAUUAUUGAAAGUGGGAAGAAUCUUCAGAAAGUUAUUUUUCUUGAUGAGCUGAAAAUCUAAAAACUGGUUUUUGAUGAAGACUUUGUUGUCAGGAUUAUUUUUUUGUUGUUAAUGUAUUUUUGGCUUUGUUUUAUCUCAAGUUUGUCCCAAUCUUGCAAACUGUGCGUCCUGUACAAGUACUGUUUGGCUUUUAAUCCUGAAAAGUACGAAAAAGCUCUAACCCUUUGAACCUGUGUUGUCUUAAGGCUUGAGCUCAUUUCAUGUCUCUCAGGCACAUCAUUCCACACAACCUUCGUGACUCAUCAUUUGAGUUAAAAUCUCCAGCUGUAAUUUAGAAGGAAUAACUCAUCAAUAGAUAACUAGUAACACUAGUAAUAACUCUGCUGGAGGAACCGAUUCAGAAAUAAAUGUUUUUAAGUUGGAAUCGUGUUUUGAAUUCACAGCAAGAAUGGAAUUUUAUUUUUCUGCAUGAGCCAUUGUUUGAUUUCGCCCAGUUUUUACAGUCAUUUUUAUGAUUUUCCUCUCUAUUUAGGAACUGAUAAAUUCGAGCUGCAGUGGAAAUUUGUAUUGCUUUGUUGCCUCAAAAAGGAAAAAUGGAGUCUCAGCUUUACUAUUAAAUUAUGUGCUUCAGUAUUAUUAGAGAAAAUGUGGUUUUAGGUUUCAAAGGUCUUAUCUGCAAGCUGACAAAUCAAAGGCAUCUUACGUUGUCUUAAAAUGAUCAAACUGCUGCUUUCUAUGUAAACAUUUUUCGUUUUAGAAUAUUUGUGCUUGUUUCAUAAUUUUUGGUGCAUUUUGUACUAAUAUCUCCUAAUUGCAUGUACAAUUUCAUUACUUGAUGCAUUUUUCCAAGAAUACUCAACAUUUUGACCUUGACUUCAAAGUUUGCAUGAAUCAGACAUCUGCCUAUUGUAUACCAUUUAUCAGAUUUACCUAAGUUGUUACUUUGUUUUAUUUUACUCUUUUAAUCAUUUAUCCAACUCGGCUGUGAUUUGACAUUCAGUCCCUUUAAGAUGCUAAAAUGUCGGUCUUCCUGUGCUUUUCAAUUUUAAAUUAGGUCUCAUGAGUUUUAGGAGUUUCUCUUGCAUGAAAUCUCUCAAGAUCUGAGGUGUGAAAAACAGGAAGUCUAUUCUUUAUUGCUUUAUUAUUCUACAAUGUAUUUUCUUGUCUUUUUCUGCCUUGGAAGCGAUUAACAAAAAUUCAUUUGAUCAAUUUUAUCAGUAUUUAAUAUGUACUUGAAUUUCAUCCAAUAAUCAAUAUUAAUCAUACUUCAUCAUAAUUUAGGAAAAUAUACAUCAGGAAUGUUUCAAUAUAUCUAGGAAAUUUGCUUUUGUAAAUUUAGGACUGAACUGAUUUUAAAAAACGAAGGAGAAGAUGGUAUAAAAUAAAGAACUACGUAACAUGUUUUCUCUUCAAAAUUUUAUGAGAAAAACGAAUCGCACGUGGGGAAGUAUGGAAAUGAACUCUUCAACAGGAUAUAACAGUGAAACACAAAGAUAAAAAACGGGAAACAAGGCUAAAAAUACACAAUUAUGAAACCCGAGACGUUUCGACUCAACACUGAGCGUUUUUAGCGUUUUUAUUUUAAAUUUUUAUUGUUUCCGACUGAAAAUGACUCAGUGUUGAGUCGAAACGUCUCGGGUUUCAUAAUUGUGUAUUUUUAGCCUUGUUUCCCGUUUUUCAUCUUUGUGUUUCACUGUUAUCACCGUCUUGGGCUGCUCUUAAAAAUUUGUAUCAACAGGAUAUAAGUCCAUACGAUUAACAUUAGUCAAACGGUAAAAAUACACAUGACGUCAUUUGUAUAAUCUAACUUUCAUUCGAUCUGUGUUGAUAAUAUUUGUUAAUACAUCAUUCUGGAGUUGAUUUCUGAACUUCCUCUUGUGUAAAUUGUUUUCAAUGUAAGAUUUUUGAAGAGGAAACAUGAUACUUUUUCCUAGUUCAUACCUUGUCCAGUUGCCCAUUGACCAAGAGUAUGGUCAUCUUUGGUUGCAAGUACAAUAUAGUGUAAUUAUUCACAUAUCAAUUAAGAAGAAUCAUUUUUAUUCUUUAUUUCUCUCACAGAAACCAACAGAAAAUAAUUUUUUUGAAGACCCUUACUUCUACCCACAAUGUAUUUAUUUUUUAUCAUACUGUCCUGAAGUUCCUUCUCUAAAUUGGAUCGAAUUUUGAAGAAGGUUUAAAGACAAGACUGCUGCACCUGCUGCUAAGAUUAUGUGACUUCUUUUUACAAGGAAACCUAAAAUCUUAAACUGCGUCUGUCUAGUAAUGCCAAAAAAAAAAUCAAAUUAGAAAAUCCCCUGUUUUAAUGUCUCGAACUGGUUUCAGUUAAUGUGUCAAACAAAUCCCAGCAAGAUCACAUGCUCUUGAUUCUUUUUGCAAUGUGCAGUCCGAUCUGUCCCAGUUCCAUCGCUUGUCAAGUAUAAUGGCAAUCUGUUUGGUUGAACUGCUGUGCAGUUUUUUUGAGAGCUGAUUUAUGUUUGAUGUAAAGCUCAACUAAACUUUGUAAUCUAAACGAUCAUAGCCUGUAUUGGUAUUGUGAUUGUAAAGCCUGGAUAACUGGCAAUUUUCGUCAGUAUUUUUCUCAACUCAGUAUCCAAAUUUCUCACUUUUUUUGAAAAUGUUUUACAGUAACUUUUUUUAACCCAUGAUUUUAUUUUUGCCCAGAACUUUACUUAUUUCUUUGCAGUAUAUUUCAGAGUACAGGUUCUCUGUAUGUACUUUAAUUUUUUGUUUAAAAAAUGUGUUUCGUUUACUGCUGUUAUCUAUGAUAAAAAGACAGCAGAAAAUUUCAGAAUGAUUGCUGAAGCUGGUUGUAAAAUUUUAGAGGAGCAAAUGGACUGGCAAGUUCAUGAAAUAAUGAAUAUUUUGGAAAGGAAAAGUUGCAUGAAACAUAAUUGUUAAUAUCUAUCAAAAAAUAUUGAUAAAAAGCUUCAGCUUGGCUCGAAAUGAAAAUUUAAAAAAAAAGAAAUAAAAUCUUGGUGAGCGUUUGCUGACUAUCUAUGCUGUACCUAGUUUUAGUUCCUGAGGUUAAAUUGCAAAAUUUCUCAUUCAUCAGAAAAAUUGGUUUCUUCGUGGAUGUAAGUUAUAAAUUGUUAUUAAUUCGUCUUUUAUUCUGCAACAAUCAAUCAUAAUUAGGAUUAUUAAUUAAUUCCCUCAAUUAAUAUUGUUGCGGACAUUGUCAAGAGCCUUACUUUUCCUUGCUGAAUUUUAAGUUGUGGGCGUCAUAGAAGCUUGCAUAAUUUAUUGACAAUAGCUCUCACUUAGAAUGUCUUCUCUUGUUAUGUUUUAGAUCCAAAGAUGUAGUUAUUGAUAAGCUGUGUCAUAUUGCUUAAGAUAUUUUGUUUUAAUUUAAAUCAGUCUCAUGUACCUAUAUAAAUAAACUGCCCUCUUUAUUUUGCUCUUGUAAAUUGUAAUUUUAGUGUAUAUACAUGUUUUUUUUACUGCAUUUAGACACAUGCAUUUGUACAUAUUACAUGCAUGUCUUUUAUUGUAUACAUACAAUGAAUACAAUUGCCGAAGU